RNAcentral lists this ribosomal RNA (446 nucleotides) under uncultured bacterium. RNAcentral describes it as "bacterial SSU rRNA". It matches the Rfam family "Bacterial small subunit ribosomal RNA", at positions 355 to 796 of the family's 1533-position model. The record is from RNAcentral.
UCGAGAAUCUUCGGCAAUGGGCGCAAGCCUGACCGAGCGACGCCGCGUGCGGGAUGAAGGCCUUCGGGUUGUAAACCGCUGUCGGAGGGGAGGAAAUACUGUGGGGUUCUCCCCAUGGCUUGACCUAUCCUCGAAGGAAGGACGGGCUAAGUUCGUGCCAGCAGCCGCGGUAAGACGAACCGUCCAAACGUUAUUCGGAAUCACUGGGCUUAAAGGGUGCGUAGGCUGUGCAGUAAGUCGGGUGUGAAAUCCCUCAGCUUAACUGAGGAAUUGCGCCCGAAACUGUUGUACUAGAGGGAGACAGGGGUAAGCGGAACUGAUGGUGGAGCGGUGAAAUGCGUUGAUAUCAUCAGGAACACCGGUGGCGAAGGCGGCUUACUGGGUCUCUUCUGACGCUGAGGCACGAAAGCUAGGGGAGCGAACGGGAUUAGAUACCCCGGUAGUCC